RNAcentral lists this ribosomal RNA (253 nucleotides) under uncultured bacterium. Its description in RNAcentral is "partial 16S ribosomal RNA". It matches the Rfam family "Bacterial small subunit ribosomal RNA", at positions 524 to 776 of the family's 1533-position model. The record is from RNAcentral.
UACAGAGGUCUCAAGCGUUGUUCGGAUUCAUUGGGCGUAAAGGGUGCGUAGGCGGCGCGGUAAGUCGGGUGUGAAAUCUCGGAGCUUAACUCCGAAACUGCAUUCGAUACUGCCGUGCUUGAGGACUGGAGAGGAGACUGGAAUUUACGGUGUAGCGGUGAAAUGCGUAGAUAUCGUAAGGAAGACCAGUGGCGAAGGCGGGUCUCUGGACAGUUCCUGACGCUGAGGCACGAAGGUCAGGGGAGCAAACGGA